This 468-nucleotide ribosomal RNA is filed under the name uncultured bacterium. RNAcentral's name for it is "partial 16S ribosomal RNA". It matches the Rfam family "Bacterial small subunit ribosomal RNA", at positions 28 to 507 of the family's 1533-position model. The record is from RNAcentral.
GACGAACGCUGGCGGCGUGCUUAACACAUGCAAGUCGAACGGAAAGGCCCUGCUUUUGUGGGGUGCUCGAGUGGCGAACGGGUGAGUAACACGAGAGUAACCUGCCCUUGACUUUGGGAUAACUUCAGGAAACUGGGGCUAAUACCGGAUAGGAGCUCCUGCUGCAUGGUGGGGGUUGGAAAGUUUCGGCGGUUGGGGAUGGACUCGCGGCUUAUCAGCUUGUUGGUGGGGUAGUGGCUUACCAAGGCUUUGACGGGUAGCCGGCCUGGGAGGGUGACCGGCCACAUUGGGACUGAGAUACGGCCCAGACUCCUACGGGAGGCAGCAGUGGGGAAUAUUGCACAAUGGGCGGAAGCCUGAUGCAGCAACGCCGCGUGCGGGAUGACGGCCUUCGGGUUGUAAACCGCUUUCGCCUGUGACGAAGCGUGAGUGACGGUAAUGGGUAAAGAAGCACCGGCUAACUACGUG